This 122-nucleotide ribosomal RNA is filed under the name Pteropus alecto (black flying fox). The record is from RNAcentral. Lineage: Eukaryota; Metazoa; Chordata; Mammalia; Chiroptera; Pteropodidae.
GUCAAUGGCCAUACCAUCCUGAAUGGGCUCGAUCUUGUCUGAUCUUGAAAGCUAAGCAGGGUUGGGCCUGGUUAGUACUUGUGAUAUGGGAGAACACCUAGGACUACCAGGUGCUGUAGAAA